CCUACGGGAGGCAGCAGUGGGGAAUAUUGCGCAAUGGGCGAAAGCCUGACGCAGCGACGCCGCGUGAGGGAUGAAGGUCUUCGGAUCGUAAACCUCUGUCAGCAGGGAAGAACGGUCACUGUGCUAAUCAGCAGUGAAUUGACGGUACCUGCAAAGGAAGCACCGGCUAACUCCGUGCCAUCAGCCGCGGUAAUACGGAGGGUGCGAGCGGUAAUCGGAAUUACUGGGCGUAAAGCGCUCGUAGGCGGUAUGUCAAGUCAAGGGUGAAAUCCCCGCGCUCAACGUGGGAUCUGCCUUUGAAACUGGCAAACUGGAGUGUGUGAGAGGAUAGUGGAAGUCCAGGUGUAGGGGUGAAAUCCGUAGAUAUCUGGAGGAACAUCAGUGGCGAAGGCGACUAUCUGGAACAUAACUGACGCUGAGGAGCGAAAGCGUGGGUAGCAAACAGGAUUAGAUACCCGAGUAGUC
Molecule: ribosomal RNA, 465 nt
Filed under: uncultured bacterium
Lineage: Bacteria
Description: partial 16S ribosomal RNA
Rfam family: Bacterial small subunit ribosomal RNA
Source: RNAcentral